GAUGAACGCUGGCGGCGUGCCUAAUACAUGCAAGUCGAGCGAACGGACGAGAAGCUUUCUUCUCUGAUGUUAGCGGCGGACGGGUGAGUAACACGUGGAUAACCUACCUAUAAGACUGGGAUAACUUCGGGAAACCGGAGCUAAUACCAGAUCAUAUUUUGAACCGCAUGGUUCAAAAGUGAAAGACGGUCUUGCUGUCACUUAUAGAUGGAUCCGCGCUGCAUUAGCUAGUUGGUAAGGUAACGGCUUACCAAGGCAACGAUGCAUAGCCGACCUGAGAGGGUGAUCGGCCACACUGGAACUGAGACACGGUCCAGACUCCUACGGGAGGCAGCAGUAGGGAAUCUUCCGCAAUGGGCGAAAGCCUGACGGAGCAACGCCGCGUGAGUGAUGAAGGUCUUCGGAUCGUAAAACUCUGUUAUUAGGGAAGAACAUAUGUGUAAGUAACUGUGCACAUCUUGACGGUACCUAAACAGAAAGCCACGGCUAACUACGUG
Molecule: ribosomal RNA, 497 nt
Filed under: uncultured bacterium
Lineage: Bacteria
Description: partial 16S ribosomal RNA
Rfam family: Bacterial small subunit ribosomal RNA
Source: RNAcentral